RNAcentral lists this ribosomal RNA (253 nucleotides) under uncultured bacterium. Its description in RNAcentral is "partial 16S ribosomal RNA". It matches the Rfam family "Bacterial small subunit ribosomal RNA", at positions 524 to 776 of the family's 1533-position model. The record is from RNAcentral.
UACAGAGGGGGCAAGCGUUGUUCGGAAUUACUGGGCGUAAAGGGCUCGUAGGCGGCCAACUAAGUCAGACGUGAAAUCCCUCGGCUUAACCGGGGAACUGCGUCUGAUACUGGAUGGCUAGAGGUUGGGAGAGGGAUGCGGAAUUCCAGGUGUAGCGGUGAAAUGCGUAGAUAUGGGGGAGAACACUCGUGGCGAAGGCGGCCAGCUAGACCAGUUCUGACACUGAGGCGCGACAGCGUGGGGAGCAAACAGG